Molecule: long non-coding RNA, 2969 nt
Organism: Xenopus laevis (African clawed frog)
Lineage: Eukaryota; Metazoa; Chordata; Amphibia; Anura; Pipidae
Exons: 2
Source: RefSeq, a predicted model, not a curated record
GAAAUGCAGAAAUGCUAAAGUAAUUUAUCUUCCAGUUAUUGUCAGAAUACAAGUCCCAACAACAGUCAAUGGACUCAAGGCAGGAUUUACACAGUGGGCACCCCUAGGCCCACUGCUGUUCCUCUCCCCUGUACCUUCCCCCUUAUUCAUGCAAAUCUUCAUCAUUGGGACCGGAGCAAUGGGGAUUGCGCACGGAACAUUUUAAAAAUCUAGCUACUUACACCCAACAACAAUUGGGGACUAUCUUGAUGAGGUCACAUUUCCCAGACUGUUGCAAAACGAGGCAGCUGCAUUGGAUGCUCCAAUUACUCUGCAGGAGGUUCGAGAGGCGAUAGCUGCUCUUCCGCAGGGCAAAACACCAGGCCCAGACGGGUUUCCCGCAGCAUGGUAUAAACUUCAAAUCGAAAAUAUAUCUGGGCAUCUCCAUCAAACUUUCCUCGAUGCAACAGUUCAAGGGUCCCUUUUUUAAACUAAAGGUUAGUGGCAGAUCGGGAGAUGGGGAAGUCCGUUCGUUUGUCCGAUACUGCAGGUAAACCUGCACAUCUAUUGCCACCUUAAGGCUAGAUGGGAAAGUAGGACAGGAUGGAGACAAUAAGACAAGAUCUCCUAAGGCAAUAUGGUGACACUAUCACUACCUGCCCAGUAUAAAUUUAAUUUAAUAUCAAUGGUGAUGAAGAUAAGGCAGCUAUUUCAUUGCCCCUAAAAAAGAUGCAAAACCUAGUUGUUGAAGUACAUAUUUUACUGUGUAAACUACACCUUGGUUGCUAGGCUGACUUGCACCCAGGAACUCCCAAUCAAUUUGUUUUCCCAUUGCAACCGUACGAACCACAGGUCACAUGCAGUUUCUCUUUUCAAGUAUGUAGGGCAGAAAGGCAAAUCGUUACAUUAAAGAUACAAACUGAAGACAAAUUAUAUAUUAUAUUUCUGAUUCCAUGUCCAUAUAAUGGUAAUGUUUGCCACCCCUUUAAUUCUUUUUGCCUUAAUUCUCCUUGCUACUGCUAGGAUACUGAAUUAUAAGACACUGCCACUUUUGUUUUUAUAGGGGGUUAAAGUGCCACCUAGCCUUCCACAGGUACUAAAUGUAGAUAAUAAUUUACUGGUGACGGAGAGACACGGCUUCUUUGGACUUCAAAAAAUCUGGUUUUUCAGGCUUGGAACUCUAUAACCAGUCGGGUGACGUUACAGCCCAAGGUGUAUUGACCUCGCCAUGCAGUCGUAUUGUUAUACAAGGUGUGGACUAUUUAAAGAGCAUCAAUUCGUGUCAUGAGACAGUAACAAGCAGGAGCCGUGGGAGAUGUGACCGCUCACCUCUCAACAGAUCAUCUCACUCCCUUUGGCUCUUAUUACAUUUAGACCCACGAUGAAGUUUGGAAAAGUGAUUGGUCGCUGCUCGUUGCUCUUCAUCAUCGCCAUCAUAUUUGAUGUUGCCGGGAUUAUUCUGCUUCUCAUCGGGAUAUUUGCCAGCCUUGCUGCCUUUGACUUUUAUAUAUACACAGGCGCCCUUAUCAUUGCUCUGAGCCUAGUCUUGUGGAUGCUGUGGUACACUGGCAAUGUAGAGCUUUCCAACAAGGAUCUAGAGCUCAUGCUGUAACCUAUCAGAUAUUUCAUUUAUUAUAGGGGGACACUAGUUCCUUUCUAACAACAAAAACUUAAUGGACAUUUCAUGUUUGUCCCCCAAAAAUUGAUUGCUAGAAAAAUACAAACAUUUGAACACUUUCACUAUUAUUCUGAUAAAAUCUGUGAAUUCAGGAUUAUUUGGUGACACAGGAAGGGUGUUUGUUAAUUGCCCCCCUUCUCCCAUGGCACACACAAGGCUGAAGAAAAGGACAACUGGCAUUAAAUGGCUUUUUGAAGAAGAAAUGGCAGAUACUACGUAAGAUGUCUCAUGGGCAACACAAGUUGGACUGAUACCCAAAACACUGGAGAGAUUAUUAAUCAUGGCAACAUCGGGUCAUCCAUUUGGUCACAAGCUGGUCUGCAUUAGAACAUUCUCCUGACUAAAUCUGAAACAUUCCGUUGAUGUUCCUCGCAUGACCUCAUGUGUCAAUCCUUCAUCUCUGAAGUGAGAAGAAGGAUUGACAAUAACUGUGAUAAUCUUAUAGUACAACAUGGAUAAACUCAUCACUAAGAACGUUCCAAGAUUGUUGGAGAACUGGUUGCUUUAUGGACUGCUAUGCACUUUUCUCUCUAUUACCCUGAUCUUCUUGUAUAAAAGGACCCUUUUGAAUAUCUCUGAUGUGACCUACCUCACUCUGAAAAUCUAAAUAUGAAGGAUUUAGGACAAUGAAGACACCCAAAUCAUGUGUGCAUGUCUGAGGACUCUACAUUUCUCAUGUGACUUCUUUAAUAAAAUACCAUGUUAGUAUGGAUGACAUGGCAGAUAUCACUUCCAUUUUUAGGGUAUUGUUAUAAAAAGCACUAAUCUUGUCAAGGUCUAUAAACCUUAAUAGCAGCAACCAAUCGGGUAUUGUUUUUAACACCUAACCAGCAAAUGCUACCUGCUGAGUGGUUGCUAUGGGUUAUUAAACCAGUAGCAAACUUUGCACCUUUUUUACAUUACCCCCAUGCAUAAUGCUCAGAGCAGUUUUUUAGGGUAGAUUACAGAGGGCAUUUAUCCUGGGCACACUAGCAACAUAGGCAGGGCCGUUUUUAGGCCUGGUUUUGCCCUAAGCACCAGACCUCAGCCCUCUAAAUCAGCAUAUUCUCAGAACAUUUGUAUUUGCAUUAUUUAUAUAAGCGCCCACCCACCGCCAACCCUAAAUUUUCUGCUCUAGGCACUGGUCCGUCAAGUGAUUAUUUAGAAAAUAUGACCCUGUAAUUUAUAAUAGCAGUACAAAAAUUGUGUUAUAGAAUUUGGAAAUAUACAUCAACAAUGCUGAGCCUACACCCUCCCAGGGGAAUCUGCUGAAUCAUACACCUACUGAAUUAUUACACUCCAGGGUAAUACAAAUAAAGAAGAAUAAAAUGUU